RNAcentral lists this transfer RNA (77 nucleotides) under Devosia psychrophila. Its description in RNAcentral is "tRNA_Arg_CCT". It matches the Rfam family "tRNA". Rfam says of the family: Transfer RNA (tRNA) molecules are approximately 80 nucleotides in length. Their secondary structure includes four short double-helical elements and three loops (D, anti-codon, and T loops). RNAcentral also lists the same sequence under 2 other names. Lineage: Bacteria; Pseudomonadati; Pseudomonadota; Alphaproteobacteria; Hyphomicrobiales; Devosiaceae. The record is from RNAcentral.
GGUCCCGUAGCUCAGCUGGAUAGAGCACCGGAUUCCUAAUCCGGGGGUCGUGGGUUCGAAUCCCGCCGGGGUCACCA